CUGAACGAUCAUAGGGGCUGGGAUACACCUGUUCUCAUUUCGAACACAGAAGUUAAGACAGCUUCCGUUCCUGUGUGGUACUGCAUUUCAAUGCGGGAAGCCUGGAAAGUCGUUCACC
Molecule: ribosomal RNA, 118 nt
Filed under: Candidatus Woesearchaeota archaeon
Lineage: Archaea; Nanobdellati; Candidatus Woesearchaeota
Source: RNAcentral